Molecule: ribosomal RNA, 256 nt
Filed under: uncultured archaeon
Lineage: Archaea
Description: partial 16S ribosomal RNA
Rfam family: Bacterial small subunit ribosomal RNA
Source: RNAcentral
UAAUACGUAGGAUGCAAGCGUUGUCCGGAAUUAUUGGGCGUAAAGAGCGCGCAGGCGGUUUUACAAGUCAGAUGUGAAAGAGGCCGGCUUAACCGGCAAGGGUCAUUUGAAACUGUGAGACUAGAGUACAGCAGAGGAUAGCGGAAUUCCCGGUGUAGUGGUGAAAUGCGUAGAUAUCGGGAGGAACACCAGUGGCGAAGGCGGCUAUCUGGGCUGAAACUGACGCUGAGGCGCGAAGGCUAGGGUAGCAAACAGG